Camelina sativa (false flax) is the source of this 242-nucleotide non-coding RNA. The record is from RefSeq and is a predicted model, not a curated record. Lineage: Eukaryota; Viridiplantae; Streptophyta; Magnoliopsida; Brassicales; Brassicaceae.
GACACAGCACAGAAGGUUUCAGAAAUGGUGCAUCUCCUUCUGGAUAUACUCCAGGCACCUGAUCCUUCCGUCUUGGAGACGUUUCUUGGAAGGAUUCCUAUGGUGUUCAAUGUUGUGAUUUUGUCUCCGCAUGGUUACUUUGGCCAAGCCAAUGUCUUGGGUCUGCCUGAUACUGGUGGACAGGUUGUGUACAUUCUUGAUCAAGUACGUGCUUUAGAAAAUGAAAUGCUCCUUAGGAUACA